CCGCUGCCAUCUCCGCUGCCUGUGGGAGGCAGCAUGGUCUGGGCCCAGAGGUUGUGGGGUGCGCAUGGGGGCGCCCCGUGCACUCCUGGUCCCUGUUUUGGUCCCUGGAAUGGGUGGGUGGGUGGUUGGUCUCCGAGCCAAGUUUGCAGCACUGGAUGCCUGGGAAAUUGCGAGGGCUCACCAGUGCCUGUAUUUUGCUGUUUCUCCUCCUUUUUAACCGGAUCCCUGUCUCUUCCCUCCCCUUUCCCCCACUCCUCACUCCUCAGAAGGCCAGAAAGUCCAGGGAACCUGCUGCAGAGAAAGGCUUCUGGGGUUAGAGCAUCUGCACCUUCAGAAGCUGAGCUGAAGCCUUGAUAGGCAGCAUCUGCGAUGCGAGGGAAGGCACCUCCACCAGUUAUGGACACGGGCAUGGACACUCUUGGCCCACUGAAGGAAAUGAGCACCCUGCCAAACAGCAGCUUGUCCUUUCCUUGCC
Mustela erminea (ermine) is the source of this 475-nucleotide long non-coding RNA. RefSeq lists it as uncharacterized. The record is from RefSeq and is a predicted model, not a curated record. The transcript is spliced from 3 exons. Lineage: Eukaryota; Metazoa; Chordata; Mammalia; Carnivora; Mustelidae.